This 245-nucleotide unclassified non-coding RNA is filed under the name uncultured fungus. RNAcentral describes it as "sequence contains ITS1, 5.8S rRNA gene". The stretch from base 197 to 245 matches the Rfam family "5.8S ribosomal RNA", at positions 1 to 49 of the family's 154-position model. The record is from RNAcentral. Lineage: Eukaryota; Fungi.
UCUCCGUUGGUGAACCAGCGGAGGGAUCAUUACAGAGUUUUCUAACUCCCAAACCCUUUGUGAACUUACUAUUUUGUUGCCUCGGCGGGGUGCGCCCUCCGUCCUCCGGGCCGGCGUCCGUGCCCCGCCGAAGGUACCGCCCACCAAACUCUUGUAUAUCAUAUGGACCUUCUGAGAAAGCUUAUAAAUAAGUCAAAACUUUCAACAACGGAUCUCUUGGUUAUGGCAUCGAUGAAGAACGCAGC